Molecule: long non-coding RNA, 634 nt
Organism: Exaiptasia diaphana
Lineage: Eukaryota; Metazoa; Cnidaria; Anthozoa; Actiniaria; Aiptasiidae
Exons: 3
Source: RefSeq, a predicted model, not a curated record
GCACGGGAUCGUAACGUAAUGUCAUAAUGCGCAUUUCACUAAGAGCACGCGUCGAUAAAUAAAAGUGUGCGCAGCUCGUUCUUUCCUUUUUUCGGGCAAUGGUUUGGUAGCCUAUGUUUGUAGUCCUAUGAGUGGUGAAUUGGCCUCGAGCGUGUAGCCAUUUUGCCUCUUGAUAUUGUGAUAAACUAACGUUAUUAUUUUAUAUGACUGUGAUUUCAGUCAUAGUUCAGCAGCUAGUGGAGCAGGGCUCUUGGUAAUUCUUCGUCUGUGGCGGUUAACKAGAAUUGUAAAUGGAAUAGUAAUGUCUGUGAAGAUACAAUCUGAGAAAAAAAUUGAAGUGCUGGCUAAAGAAAAAGAAGAAAUGCAAAAAGAAUUAGAACAACUAAAGGCAAGAAACCACGAACUCGAGAUGCAAGUAAACCUCUUAAGAAAUGAGCAGGGCGAGCAUUCAGAACAAGCAAAGGAUGCAUAGUUUCUCGUUCCAGUCCACAAUCAUAUUGUAAAUAUAUUUUGAUAUGCUAUUUUACUUAUACUAUUCGMAAAUUAGUUAUUAGUUUUUGCAAAAUGGAAAAUUUCUUUUGUCAGAAUUUUGCAAAGCUUUUUGUCUAUAACCUAUAAUAUGUAAAUAUCGUCU